Molecule: transfer RNA, 73 nt
Filed under: Marmota monax (woodchuck)
Lineage: Eukaryota; Metazoa; Chordata; Mammalia; Rodentia; Sciuridae
Description: tRNA.Ala
Source: RNAcentral
UUAUGUGGCUCAGUGGUAGAAUGCUUGCCAAGCAUGUGUGAGGCACUGGGUUCGAUCCUCAGCACCACAUAAA